UAAUAAGCAAUCCCUUAUGAAACAGAUUAUAUUUCUAGCAGCUUAUGACGUUGAACUCUUUCCUAAAGCCAAGCCAAGAUUAUCACCUGAUAGAACAGAGAGUCCAAACUGAUUUAUCAGCCACUGCUCAUGAGGAUCUGUUGAAAUCUUUCCUGUUGAUUCCAUUUUUAGCAGACAUGUUGCAUCCAGCCAUGAUCGGGGUCUUGGUGUUUAACAUCGUAUUAAUCGUGAUCGAGUGGACGUAUAUCAUAAGCGAGAUAAUGAGAGUGGAUGACUGAAAACAAGGUUGCUUCACAAUAGCAGCCUACAAUCAGGCUUUAGAUCAGAUGGGUUAGAUCACUUUACAGAGCUCUCUAAAGCUUUAACAUAAUUCGAAAUGUGCUUCAAGGAUUGUAUCAAGAAUGAGCCUUUGUACCUAAAUUGGUGGAUGACCAAAUAAAGAUGAAGAUAACACAGACGAUGGAAAGAAGGCAGGCGGAUGAGUGAAGAAAUAUAAACUGGAUUAUAGGCUUACACGGAGGUUCCACAUCUACAAAACCAACAUGGCAGCCAUUCUGAAUUUUUCCAAAUAAAUCUUGUUUUUGUUAUGGAUUAUCAAUUGCAGUACCAGUAUUUACAUUACUAUGGGUUAAUAAUAAAUGAAAUACAAGCUGAUUCUUUCUUUUUUCCACAACCAUUUUAUAUAUGAAACAUCUGAAUGUUGCAAUAAGUGCCAUUUCUUGGUAAAAACAUUUUUCAGACGUGUAGAAAGUGAAAUACAGCUCUAAUUAUGGCUUCAGAAAGUAAAAUAUGCUUAAAAAAUAUCAAAUGUUUUCUAUUGUCCAGUGCAGAUAUUCAUAACUUUGAGCUAUAGUACAAGUAACUCACUGUAAAUGAUUUAUAUUACAAUGGAUUUAAAUCUGCAAUACUCAGUUCUAAACUGUUCUGUACUGUUCUGUAAAACGCUCAUUCUCGAAACUGCUAUAAUUUGUUGCACUCCAUAGAGCAUUAAGAUUUAUGUAAUUAACCUUCACGUCUGUGUGAAAAUGGUUGACUAUGUACCACAUACUAGAUUAUGUUCCUUAGUAAACAUAUACUCUGACUCAUCA
Molecule: long non-coding RNA, 1088 nt
Organism: Silurus meridionalis
Lineage: Eukaryota; Metazoa; Chordata; Actinopteri; Siluriformes; Siluridae
Exons: 2
Source: RefSeq, a predicted model, not a curated record